RNAcentral lists this ribosomal RNA (550 nucleotides) under uncultured archaeon. RNAcentral's name for it is "bacterial SSU rRNA". It matches the Rfam family "Archaeal small subunit ribosomal RNA", at positions 223 to 775 of the family's 1478-position model. The record is from RNAcentral.
GAUCAGGCUGUUGGUGAGGUAAUGGCCCACCAAACCUGUAACCGGUACGGGCUCUGAGAGGAGGAGCCCGGAGAUGGGCACUGAGACAAGGGCCCAGGCCCUAUGGGGCGCAGCAGGCGCGAAACCUCUGCAAUAGGCGAAAGCUUGACAGGGUUACUCUGAGUGAUCUCCGUUAAGGAGAUCUUUUGGCACCUCUAAAAAUGGUGCAGAAUAAGGGGUGGGCAAGUCUGGUGUCAGCCGCCGCGGUAAUACCAGCACCCCGAGUGGUCGGGACGUUUAUUGGGCCUAAAGCAUCCGUAGCCGGUUUUACAAGUCUUCCGUUAAAUCCACCUGCUCAACAGAUGGGCUGCGGAAGAUACUAUAGAGCUAGGAGGCGGGAGAGGCAAGCGGUACUCGAUGGGUAGGGGUAAAAUCCGUUGAUCCAUUGAAGACCACCAGUGGCGAAGGCGGCUUGCCAGAACGCGCUCGACGGUGAGGGAUGAAAGCUGGGGGAGCAAACCGGAUUAGAUACCCGGGUAGUCCCAGCUGUAAACGAUGCAGACUCGGUGAU